ACUGGUAUGAAAAGUGUUUGGCUGCUUAAAAAAAGAAAGAUAUGAAAGUGAUCAAACUUCAAGAUACAUUCCGAACCUCUGAAGCCGCCCCCAUAGAAAACGUACUAUAGGACAAGUGCAAGAUGGCUGCGUUGAGUUAACUGGAGUUCCAAAACAGCAGGCCUACCUUCGCUCCGCAAGCACAAGGCAUGCGCAAUGGAA
Acipenser ruthenus (sterlet) is the source of this 201-nucleotide long non-coding RNA. RefSeq lists it as uncharacterized. The transcript has 3 exons. The record is from RefSeq and is a predicted model, not a curated record. NCBI's taxonomy places the organism in Eukaryota, Metazoa, Chordata, Actinopteri, Acipenseriformes, Acipenseridae.